UAGGGAAUCUUCGGCAAUGGACGAAAGUCUGACCGAGCAACGCCGCGUGAGUGAAGAAGGUUUUCGGAUCGUAAAACUCUGUUGUUAGAGAAGAACAAGGACGUUAGUAACUGAACGUCCCCUGACGGUAUCUAACCAGAAAGCCACGGCUAACUACGUGCCAGCAGCCGCGGUAAUACGUAGGUGGCAAGCGUUGUCCGGAUUUAUUGGGCGUAAAGCGAGCGCAGGCGGUUUCUUAAGUCUGAUGUGAAAGCCCCCGGCUCAACCGGGGAGGGUCAUUGGAAACUGGGAGACUUGAGUGCAGAAGAGGAGAGUGGAACUCCAUGUGUAGCGGUGAAAUGCGUAGAUAUAUGGGGGAACACCAGUGGCGAAGGCGGCUCUCUGGUCUGUAACUGACGCUGAGGCUCGAAAGCGUGGGGAGCAAACAGG
Molecule: ribosomal RNA, 429 nt
Filed under: Gemmatimonadota bacterium
Lineage: Bacteria; Pseudomonadati; Gemmatimonadota
Description: Gemmatimonadetes bacterium partial 16S ribosomal RNA
Rfam family: Bacterial small subunit ribosomal RNA
Source: RNAcentral